UUAUUUUUGGUUUUGUUGAGACAGGAUUUCUCUGGUAGCCCUGGCUGUCCUACAACUUGCUUUGUAGUCCAGGCCCCAAACUCAGAGCCUCUGCAUCCUCAGUGUUAAUGAUACUCUGUUAUACUUGCAGGGAGAAGUCUAGCACCGCUGCCCUCUAAGAGGAUCCAGCCAGCAGCUAACUCGGACAGAUGCAGACACCCACAGCCAAAGGGUGGAUGGUGUUUGGGGAUUCUUCUGGAAGAACAGGGGGAUGGAUUGUAAGCCCUGAAGGGCCUAGGAACUCUACAGGAAGACCAGCAGAGUUAAUUAACCUGGACUCUUGGGGCUCUCAGAGUCUGAACCACCAACCGACAUACCCACAGGCUGAACCUAGGCCUCCCCACACAAAUCUAGCAGAUGUGCAGCUUGGUCUCCCAGUGGGUACCGAACAACUGGAAUAGUAGGAGCCAUCCCAACAGCUGUUACCUAUGCAGGGGAUCAAGUCCACACCCUUAUGCACACACCAGCUAAACACUCCGUGUCUGAGCUAUCCAGCCCCUUACUGUACUCUUGUCCCGGAGCACCUGAGGAUCUCGGUCACAGGAUGGCGGCCAUCCAGUAAUCAAUCCUCAAGGAAACCGAGGGACACUGCACUUUGAACCCUUUUUAAGUUGGGAUUGAGGCAUUUCUCGCUGUCAGACUGUCUUUGGGCCCUCCAACUGGCAUUUUCAAACUGUUGACACUCGACUACUUUACAAGAGAAAGCUUGA
RNAcentral lists this small RNA (749 nucleotides) under Rattus norvegicus (Norway rat). RNAcentral describes it as "uncharacterized LOC102549100". The record is from RNAcentral. Lineage: Eukaryota; Metazoa; Chordata; Mammalia; Rodentia; Muridae.